AUAUCACAGUUAAUUUUUCUAAAUUUUCCUUUUUCACUAAUAUAGAUUAGAGUUAUUUGUGGGAGACCAAACAGUGAGGAUGGAGACCGAACUGACCUCUGGGAGCACAAAGGAGGAAAAGUAGCAAGCUGUGCUCCUUCGGCAGCAUGCAGGCGCCCUGGCAUACGGCGGGUACUAAGGAAGAACCAACACAGCUGAGCUCCAGUACCUUUAAGGAAAAUGGUAUAAGCUUCGUGAUGACUCCUGCCUAGAGUCUGAAGAAGAGACCAGAUGACCCCUAGGAGAUCCAAUCAUAACAGUCCAAGAAGCCAAUUCAGC
Molecule: long non-coding RNA, 318 nt
Filed under: Chinchilla lanigera (long-tailed chinchilla)
Lineage: Eukaryota; Metazoa; Chordata; Mammalia; Rodentia; Chinchillidae
Description: lncRNA (ENSCLAG00000026927.1)
Source: RNAcentral